UGAAUAGGGGAUUAUCACGCUUCCUGGUUCCGGUGGCGGGAUUUGUCUUCGUUGUGCAUGAACACUUCCGGCGCACUUCCACCAUGGCUGAAACAAAGGCGAGAUGUCACUGCUCUCUGUUCCACUUUGUACAUCUAACAAACAACACCAACCCUACUUAAGUUUUCAUGGAUUCCCGACUGAAAUGAGUCUAAGGAAGAAGUGGAUUCAAGCGGUUCGCCGGGAUGAAGGGCCAAACUUUAAAAUAAAACAAGGUAGCAUGUUUGUUUGUAGCCGGCACUUUAGUGAAUCAGACUACAAACGCUACAGCUAGCAACCAACCGGGGUCACACCAAGCGACUGAAAAUCGGGUCUGUACCCUCCCGUUUCCAGUGGAACAACUGGGGACUGCCAAGAAGGGGGUCUGUUUAUAAAAGAGCAUCAACUCGCUUAGGCCAUGACGUUCACCCAUCCCUUCCCCUGGAGCAACCGCUGCCCUGUGAAUAAGAGCCGAUGGAGGAGAUCUCAGCUUCGGUGGUGAUGACAGAACAUGAUUUUGGUUCUGCUCCUAAACCAGGUGCACUGGAUGCUGCUGCUGUAAACAUACAGCAAUUGGAAGAAACAGUCAAGGAGCUGAUGAGAGCUGUCACAGCUGAAAGUGGUUCAAGUGCAUUUUCACAGAUUCUGUGUCUCAGACGCGGACAUCCUUUUUUACACCAGAUUCACGUCAAGAGAUGUUUUUUGUGACUUCUGGGAGGUUAUUCAACCAUCUGCCUCCAUGUUGGUUUAUUGGUCGAAAGCUCAGAAAAAGAAACAAACAUUUGAACCCAUUUCUCCCAGUCCAACGUGUAGACUGCAACUGGUUGAGUUUUUUCUCUUCUGCUGCCGGGUUGCUGCAGGCCUGCAAGAGAAGGUGCUGGCUGACAUGUUUCAGGUCAGUGUGUCCACUGUCUACCAUGUUGUUAUACCGUGGGCCAACUACCGUUACCUGCUCCUUGGCUCCCUCCCCAUCUGGAUGAGUAAACUGCAAGUCAAGAACACCAUGCCAAGAUAAUUUGUGCAGUACAGUCCAGAUGUUCAGAGCUGACUGAACGAAGUGGACUGCUGGAUUUACUGGAGCCAGGAGAUGGCUGCAUGGCAGACAAGGGUUUCACCAUCGAGAAGCCACUAGCUGAUCGUGGGGCAACGCUGAUUAUACCACCCUUCAAGAUGACAGUUCACUGAAGAGGAUGCUCUGAAAACACAAGCAAUCGCUCGACUUCGAAUCAUCGUAGAAAGAGCAAUAGGCAGAGUCAAGGAAUACCGCAUCUGGGAACACACUGUCCUUUCACCUUGUCUGCGACAGUCAAUCAGCUGUGGACCGUCUGCUGUGUGAUGACCAACUUCCAGGGACCACUUGAUUUAAAAGGCUACAUCCCUGUUGAAUAGUGUUUCUACUCAAACAUGUACCUAUAAAUAUUAAAUAUAAUAUAUAAAUAUUAAAACGAGAGGCACUGAACAUUUGGAUUGGUCCCUUCAUUUUUUCCGGAGCUGUAAUUUUGUACACUGAAAACAUUGUAUAUAUUGAAUGACAUGUAAUGUAAUUGAAUGAGAAGUCUUUCAUCUAUAAUCAAUUUUAAAGUCCAGUCAGUCCAUCCUGAAAGUAUUCAAAAUAAUGUUAAUAUAUAAUGUAGUAAAUGAUGUACUCAGAAAAAGAGAAUGAAUUAAAUCCUUUUAUUCUUUCA
Long non-coding RNA from Gadus macrocephalus (Pacific cod), 1703 nucleotides. RefSeq lists it as uncharacterized. The record is from RefSeq and is a predicted model, not a curated record. NCBI's taxonomy places the organism in Eukaryota, Metazoa, Chordata, Actinopteri, Gadiformes, Gadidae. The transcript is spliced from 4 exons.